UACGUAGGUGGCAAGCGUUGUCCGGAAUUAUUGGGCGUAAAGCGCGCGCAGGCGGUCCUUUAAGUCUGAUGUGAAAGCCCACGGCUCAACCGUGGAGGGUCAUUGGAAACUGGGGGACUUGAGUACAGAAGAGAAGAGUGGAAUUCCACGUGUAGCGGUGAAAUGCGUAGAGGUGUGGAGGAACACCAGUGGCGAAGGCGGCUCUUUGGUCUGUAACUGACGCUGAGGCGCGAAAGCGUGGGGAGCAAACAGG
Molecule: ribosomal RNA, 253 nt
Filed under: uncultured bacterium
Lineage: Bacteria
Description: partial 16S ribosomal RNA
Rfam family: Bacterial small subunit ribosomal RNA
Source: RNAcentral